AUGGCGGCGCCGUGGCGGUCGGGAAAUAUUUCCAAGUAGAAAUCCCGUCGAUUAAAAUCAAUGGCUGCAUGCAAGAUUUGCGGCCUGAAAGUUUGGAGAUGUGGAGUCAAAUCGGCCAGUUUCAAUACCUCGAACUUGAUAAAACAUUUGAAGACGAAACGUGAACGAACACAACGAGUUUGAGCCUGCAAGAGCAGGACUGCUAUCCAGAGGAAAAAGGCCGCUGGACCGGAGCAACAAUCUCUGAGCGUGUACAAAAACAAAACACCUGUCCAUGACUUUCGUAUCUGCAAGGCACAGGGAGGCAUGGAAUUCUGAUAAACUGCUAGGUGGAAAACGCUGUUAGGCAAGGGAAGACAUCUUGAUGUGCCUCACAACAACACCUACUGUACGUUGAUGGACAUCUAUCCAUAUCGAAACUACAUGUGUUGAUUGCGUUCUACCUAGCGGCGGCCGAGAGGCUGGGACAGACGG
Molecule: long non-coding RNA, 474 nt
Organism: Corythoichthys intestinalis (scribbled pipefish)
Lineage: Eukaryota; Metazoa; Chordata; Actinopteri; Syngnathiformes; Syngnathidae
Exons: 3
Source: RefSeq, a predicted model, not a curated record